This 465-nucleotide ribosomal RNA is filed under the name uncultured Klebsiella sp. RNAcentral's name for it is "bacterial SSU rRNA". It matches the Rfam family "Bacterial small subunit ribosomal RNA", at positions 338 to 795 of the family's 1533-position model. The record is from RNAcentral. Lineage: Bacteria; Pseudomonadati; Pseudomonadota; Gammaproteobacteria; Enterobacterales; Enterobacteriaceae.
CCUACGGGAGGCUGCAGUGGGGAAUAUUGCACAAUGGGCGCAAGCCUGAUGCAGCCAUGCCGCGUGUGUGAAGAAGGCCUUCGGGUUGUAAAGCACUUUCAGCGGGGAGGAAGGCGUUAAGGUUAAUAACCUUGGCGAUUGACGUUACCCGCAGAAGAAGCACCGGCUAACUCCGUGCCAGCAGCCGCGGUAAUACGGAGGGUGCAAGCGUUAAUCGGAAUUACUGGGCGUAAAGCGCACGCAGGCGGUCUGUCAAGUCGGAUGUGAAAUCCCCGGGCUCAACCUGGGAACUGCAUUCGAAAACGGCAGGCUAGAGUCUUGUAGAGGGGGGUAGAAUUCCAGGUGUAGCGGUGAAAUGCGUAGAGAUCUGGAGGAAUACCGGUGGCGAAGGCGGCCCCCCGGACAAAGACUGACGCUCAGGUGCGAAAGCGUUGGGAGCAAACAGGAUUAGAUACCCGAGUAGUC